GAUGAAGAACGUAGCGAAAUGCGAUAAGUAAUGUGAAUUGCAGAAUUCAGUGAACCAUCGAAUCUUUGAACGCACAUUGCGCCCGGCAGUAAUCUGCCGGGCAUGCCUGUCCGAGCGUCAUUUCUACCCUCGAGCGACUCCAGCAUCUAGGUGCUGGGCCUCGCCCGGCGUUGGAGCACUACGGGAAGCCCUGUGCUGUCCCCCGUAGGCCCCGAAAUGAAGUGGCGGUCCUGCCGCGGCGCCCCCUGCGUAGUAUAACAGCUCGCUUCGGGACCCGGUGGAGGCCUGCCGUCAAACCUAUACUCUCUAAGUUUGACCUCGGAUCAGGUAGGGUUACCCGCUGAACUUAAGCAUAUCAAUAAGCGGAGGA
This 370-nucleotide unclassified non-coding RNA is filed under the name soil metagenome. RNAcentral's name for it is "partial contains 5.8S ribosomal RNA, internal transcribed spacer 2, and large subunit ribosomal RNA". The stretch from base 1 to 120 matches the Rfam family "5.8S ribosomal RNA", at positions 35 to 154 of the family's 154-position model. The record is from RNAcentral.